Molecule: transfer RNA, 63 nt
Filed under: Atkinsoniella thalia
Lineage: Eukaryota; Metazoa; Arthropoda; Insecta; Hemiptera; Cicadellidae
Also listed under: 1 other name
Description: tRNA-Cys
Rfam family: tRNA
About the family: Transfer RNA (tRNA) molecules are approximately 80 nucleotides in length. Their secondary structure includes four short double-helical elements and three loops (D, anti-codon, and T loops). Further hydrogen bonds mediate the characteristic L-shaped molecular structure. tRNAs have two regions of fundamental functional importance: the anti-codon, which is responsible for specific mRNA codon recognition, and the 3' end, to which the tRNAs corresponding amino acid is attached (by aminoacyl-tRNA synthetases). tRNAs cope with the degeneracy of the genetic code in two manners: having more than one tRNA (with a specific anti-codon) for a particular amino acid; and 'wobble' base-pairing, i.e. permitting non-standard base-pairing at the 3rd anti-codon position.
Source: RNAcentral
AAUCUUAUAGUUUAAUAUAAAACAUUAAAUUGCAAAUUUAAUAUUGGUCCUUACCUAAGAUUU